Molecule: unclassified non-coding RNA, 267 nt
Filed under: plant metagenome
Description: partial contains small subunit ribosomal RNA, internal transcribed spacer 1, and 5.8S ribosomal RNA
Source: RNAcentral
UUUCCGUAGGUGAGCCUGCGGAAGGAUCAUUAUCGUACAAAAUGUGAGGGGCAUGCGAGGGCUGUCGCUGACCCAAGAGUCGUGCACGCCCGAGUGUGUCCUCUUGCAUAAUAAUCCAUCUCACCCUUUGUGCAUCACCGCGUGGGCACCCUUCGGGAUCAUCUCGGAGGGGGGCUCGCGUUUUCACACAAACCCCCCUUUUAAAAGUGUAGAAUGACCACAUUUAUGCAAUCAAUACAACUUUCAACAACGGAUCUCUUGGCUCUC